UCCGUAGGGUGCGAGCGUUGUCCGGAAUUAUUGGGCGUAAAGAGCUCGUAGGCGGUGUGUCGCGUCGGCCGUGAAAACCUGCAGCUUAACUGUGGGCUUGCGGUCGAUACGGGCAUCACUGGAGUUCGGCAGGGGAGACUGGAAUUCCUGGUGUAGCGGUGAAAUGCGCAGAUAUCAGGAGGAACACCGGUGGCGAAGGCGGGUCUCUGGGCCGAUACUGACGCUGAGGAGCGAAAGCAUGGGGAGCGAACAGG
RNAcentral lists this ribosomal RNA (254 nucleotides) under uncultured bacterium. RNAcentral describes it as "partial 16S ribosomal RNA". It matches the Rfam family "Bacterial small subunit ribosomal RNA", at positions 524 to 776 of the family's 1533-position model. The record is from RNAcentral.